This 253-nucleotide ribosomal RNA is filed under the name uncultured prokaryote. RNAcentral describes it as "partial 16S ribosomal RNA". It matches the Rfam family "Bacterial small subunit ribosomal RNA", at positions 524 to 776 of the family's 1533-position model. The record is from RNAcentral.
UACGGAGGGUGCAAGCGUUAUCCGGAUUCACUGGGUUUAAAGGGUGCGUAGGUGGGAAGGUAAGUCAGUGGUGAAAUCCCCAGGCUCAACUUGGGAACUGCAUCCGAUACUGGAUGGCUUGAAUUCGGGAGAGGGAUGCAGAAUUCCAGGUGUAGCGGUGAAAUGCGUAGAUAUCUGGAGGAAUACCGGUGGCGAAGGCGGCAUCCUGGACCGACAUUGACGCUGAGGAGCGAAAGCUAGGGGAGCAAACGGG